GGUAGGGUCUUGGCCCCCCACUGAUGCAUCUAUAUGGAUGGGGUCCACUCUCCUGAAAGGCGUCAAGUCUCUCUCCAUCCCAUGCUCCAUCUCCUGCUCAGCCUCACCUCCUCAAUUGGGCCACCUGAAGCAGAACCCCCCUCUUCCGUCCGGAUCGAUGCCUUCCCAUCCUCCCCUGAGAUCCUAGUCAAGAAUAAAAAGACAUAGAGGUCGUCAGUGCUAGCUGCUGCCUCCAUACGGAUCUUCGAGGAAGCCAUGACCUUGCCCUUGGCCUUAUUCUUCCUCG
RNAcentral lists this long non-coding RNA (286 nucleotides) under Elaeis guineensis (African oil palm). RNAcentral's name for it is "long non-coding RNA (EGUI_LNC073706)". The record is from RNAcentral. Lineage: Eukaryota; Viridiplantae; Streptophyta; Magnoliopsida; Arecales; Arecaceae.